UGGGGAAUAUUGGACAAUGGGGGCAACCCUGAUCCAGCGAUGCCGCGUGUGUGAAGAAGGCCUGCGGGUUGUAAAGCACUUUCGGAGGGGAGGAAGGCCUGUGAGUCGAAUAGACUGAUGGGAUUGACGUUACCCUCAUAAGAAGCACCGGCUAACUCCGUGCCAGCAGCCGCGGUAAUACGGAGGGUGCAAGCGUUAAUCGGAAUUACUGGGCGUAAAGGGCGCGUAGGUGGUUAGAUAAGUUGACUGUGAAAGCCCCGGGCUUAACCUGGGACGGCCAGUCGAUACUGUAUGACUAGAGUACUGUAGAGGGUAGUGGAAUUUCCGGUGUAGCGGUGAAAUGCGUAGAUAUCGGAAAGAACACCGGUGGCGAAGGCGGCUACCUGGACAGAUACUGACACUGAGGCGCGAAAGCGUGGGGAGCGAACAGGAUUAGAUACCCGCGUAGUCC
RNAcentral lists this ribosomal RNA (451 nucleotides) under uncultured bacterium. RNAcentral describes it as "bacterial SSU rRNA". It matches the Rfam family "Bacterial small subunit ribosomal RNA", at positions 355 to 796 of the family's 1533-position model. The record is from RNAcentral.